Molecule: non-coding RNA, 202 nt
Organism: Oryza nivara
Lineage: Eukaryota; Viridiplantae; Streptophyta; Magnoliopsida; Poales; Poaceae
Source: Rfam
AAAAAGGGUAAACCCUAGGUUUCCGUGUCCAACUUUAACUGUCCGUCUUAUAUGAAUUUUUUUUAUAUUUCGUAUUUUUAUUGUUGUUAGAUGAUAAAAUAUGAUUAAUACUUUGUGCGUGACUUGUCUUUUUAAUUUUUUUUUAUAAUUUUUCCAAAUAAGACAGACGGUCAAACAUUGGGCACGAAAACCAGGAUUUAUC